AGAACGAACGCUGGCGGCAGGCUUAACACACGCAAGUCGAGCGAUCGCAGCAAUGCGGGAGCGGCAGACGGGUGAGUAACGCGUGGGAACGUACCCUCCGGUUCGGAAUAACUCAGGGAAACUUGAGCUAAUACCGGAUACGGUCGAGAGGCGAAAGAUUCAUCGCCGGAGGAUCGGCCCGCGUUCGAUUAGCUAGUUGGCGGGGUAAUGGCCCACCAAGGCGACGAUCGAUAGCUGGUCUGAGAGGAUGAUCAGCCACAUUGGGACUGAGACACGGCCCAAACUCCUACGGGAGGCAGCAGUGGGAAUAUUGGACAAUGGGCGCAAGCCUGAUCCAGCCAUGCCGCGUGAGUGAUGACGGCCUUAGGGUUGUAAAGCUCUUUCGCUAGGGACGAUAAUGACGGUACCUAGACAAGAAGCCCCGGCUAACUUCGUGCCAGCAGCCGC
RNAcentral lists this ribosomal RNA (447 nucleotides) under uncultured bacterium. RNAcentral's name for it is "SSU rRNA". It matches the Rfam family "Bacterial small subunit ribosomal RNA", at positions 26 to 518 of the family's 1533-position model. The record is from RNAcentral.